Molecule: non-coding RNA, 548 nt
Organism: Nerophis lumbriciformis (worm pipefish)
Lineage: Eukaryota; Metazoa; Chordata; Actinopteri; Syngnathiformes; Syngnathidae
Source: RefSeq, a predicted model, not a curated record
GAGCAGUGUUCAUCCAACUCUUCAUCACAGAUUGACAUCAUGCCAGUAAAUGAGGUGUACAAAAUGCAUCUGCUCAAGAAAAUGGAAAAAACCGACAAAGAAAUGGUGUACUUGGACUGGCAAAUUAAGAAAGCACAUCUGGAAUUUGAAAUUCUAAAAUACAAGCUAGAGGAAAUGAAGACGAAAAGAAAAUGAUUUUGUUUGGGGGGGAGGGGGCGGUAUUUUUACUACUGUGGUUUUGGUCUGGUGCAGACUAAUGAGCACAACAAUUAUGACAUAGAUCUGUGGAUUAGGUUUGACUCAGGCUGGCAUUUGCACACAAUGCUGGGACUCCAUUACCCAUGAUCCUCCACUGCCUUCUGACAGCCAACAUUGGUGUUCUUAACGCUGGACUCUAUACUCGUACAAAAAGUGCUUGCACAGUUGGGUUGUUGUUUAAGUUAAUUCCGAACAUGCAUACAGUGUUUGGUUUACAUUUAUUGUAUUUUCCUUUUUGAUACAUAUUUUUUUAAUAAAUGAUUCUUCAAUAAAGUUUGUCUAAAUACUUG